RNAcentral lists this unclassified non-coding RNA (343 nucleotides) under soil metagenome. Its description in RNAcentral is "partial contains 5.8S ribosomal RNA, internal transcribed spacer 2, and large subunit ribosomal RNA". The stretch from base 1 to 120 matches the Rfam family "5.8S ribosomal RNA", at positions 35 to 154 of the family's 154-position model. The record is from RNAcentral.
GAUGAAGAACGUAGCGAAAUGCGAUAAGUAAUGUGAAUUGCAGAAUUCAGUGAAUCAUCGAGUCUUUGAACGCACAUUGCGCCCCCUGGUAUUCCGGGGGGCAUGCCUGUCCGAGCGUCAUUGCUGCCCUCAAGCACGGCUUGUGUGUUGGGCCCCGUCCCCUCCCCCGGGGACGGGCCCGAAAGGCAGCGGCGGCACCGCGUCCGAUCCUCGAGCGUAUGGGGCUUUGUCACCCGCUCUGUAGGCCCGGCCGGCGCCAGCCGACACCCAACUUUUAUUUCUAAGGUUGACCUCGGAUCAGGUAGGGAUACCCGCUGAACUUAAGCAUAUCAAUAAGCGAGGA